Erigeron canadensis is the source of this 649-nucleotide long non-coding RNA. RefSeq lists it as uncharacterized. The transcript has 2 exons. The record is from RefSeq and is a predicted model, not a curated record. Lineage: Eukaryota; Viridiplantae; Streptophyta; Magnoliopsida; Asterales; Asteraceae.
UAAAAAUAAAAUCCGAAAACCCUAAUCGCCAAAACAUUAGCGACCUAAUUUUCCAUCAAAGCAAACAAUGGCAGGCAAGAGAUCUAGCAACAAAGCAGGUGUACUAUCAAGGGUUUCCUCAACAAUAUCAGAAUCACCAAUUCUUUACAAAGGCAAACAAGCCGCUUCCGAUGCUGGUUUCGCCGCUCAGAAGCUUUUAAAAAGCACCGGCAACGCCGCCUGGAUCGUCGGAACCACCUUCUUGGUCCUUGGUUUUCCUCUCAUAUUUCAGAUGGAACGUGAGGGUCAAUUUAUUGAGCUUGAGCUUCAACAAGCUAGUUUGCUUGGUACCCCACCUGCCAAGUGAUCCGCCCUCUUUUUAUAUGGUGUUGAGAUGAUUAAAUAAGGAAAUAGAAAAGAUGUUCUGGCAGCAUGAAAGUGAGAGGAACAAGAAGGCUUUUUUUUGCUGUAGUUAUUAUGAGUAGGAAGAUGCCUUUUUUUGUUGCUUUAUUCUUCACUUUCUGUUAUUUAUUUGACAUUUUUGAGCAAAUGAGAAGAUGCUGCAUUCACAACUAUGAGUGACUAGGGUAAAUCUACUUUUGAAUUUUUAAAUGUAACACAAUCGUGAUACAGUGGCUUGUAUGUUAUGCAUUAAGAUUAGGUUUUGGCA